UAAUACGGAGGGUGCAAACGUUGCUCGGAAUCAUUGGGCGUAAAGCGUGUGUAGGCGGCCUGUUAAGUCGGGUGUGAAAGCCCCGGGCUCAACCCGGGAAGUGCAUUCGAUACUGGCAGGCUUGAGUACGGGAGAGGGUCGCGGAAUUCCCGGUGUAGAGGUGAAAUUCGUAGAUAUCGGGAGGAACACCAGUGGCGAAGGCGGCGACCUGGACCGAUACUGACGCUGAGACACGAAAGCGUGGGGAGCAAACAGGAUUAGAUACCCUGGUAGUCCACGCUGUAAACGAUGGGUGCUAGGUGUCGUGGGUAUUGACCCCUGCGGUGCCGAAGUUAACGCAUUAAGCACCCCGCCUGGGGAGUACGGCCGCAAGGCUA
Molecule: ribosomal RNA, 377 nt
Filed under: uncultured bacterium
Lineage: Bacteria
Description: bacterial SSU rRNA
Rfam family: Bacterial small subunit ribosomal RNA
Source: RNAcentral